AUAGCCUCCUGGCGCAGCUUCAUAGCGAUACUCAGUCACACUAAUUUACUGAUUUAAUCAGUCACCCUCCAUGAUCUGGUGCCAUGUGACCAUCGUUCCGACAGACGGCGAUGACUCUGCCACAGGUUACUGCACAGGUAGCUGUCAGAGAGAGGGUAGGUAGACGUGCCUAUUCUAGCCCUAUCGUCUACAGAGGAUCGAGUCGACGAGGCAAAACAGCUGGAUUGAGCAAUGUCUACUGGAGUCAACCCGUAAACGACCGGAGAGUGCUCCUUCGCCCAUAGACAAGAUUCUGUGCCCGUUCGCAUUUUAUUCUCCAUAGUGGAAGCUAUACCGCUUCCACUACGACGAACAUUCUCCCGAAAGCAAUUGCAUUCCGUACAACUAAACGGAUCCCAUUUACAAUGAGCAGGUUGUCGCGCGCACGAGUGCCUGUAAGUAUCUAUCAAGCGAUACCUUCCGCGAAUCCUGGCCACAGCACUAUAGUCAGGACAGCGAAGUCGUCACCAACCAUUUGCGAAUAGCGCCGUGUCUACCGUUGUCUGCGUACGUGUUUGUUCGUUACUAUUUUGUGUAGAUGUUUGUUAUUAGUUGGGGAAGCAGCAUGUCUCGGCACUGAUGCGCAAGGUGCGUCGCCAGAAAACCGCUACCAUCAUUGACUUGUCGCUAGCGCUGUCACUCUCGUCAUUAUCAGCGACAACCUCAGUGAUAACUGCAAAUUACUAUUAGUACUACAUGACAAUGGAGCGGUUGCGCGUCGGAACUAUUUCUAGCGAGCGCUCCGCCCUUCGUGGCAACAGUGCCCCGCGAAAAAUGUCCCUCCACAUGCAGAUAGUCGCUUACUAGCCCGUCAGCCAGUGAACUACCCACAGCGACCAUUUCUUCAUUCUCCUUGCCCGUCGUAGCGCUACCAUGAGGAAUAAACUUAUAUUUGUGUUAUUGAGUAUUAUAUGGUGUUUAUUAGUUUUGCGCAAAUAACUAUGUGUGUGUUUCAAUACGUAUGUAUAUAUGUUUGUAGUAGCUCUAUGGGCCUCCAUAUCUACAUCUGUGUGAGCCCUCGGCGUGUCUCUGUUUGUUUGAAAACGCUUCCGUCUAUUCAUACGUUACUAGUUGCAGAAAAGUAACAGCUACCAACCCUAUAGUAGAUAACAUUGUUAGAUCGGGAUAACACUUAGACAGCCGGUAACUCACGCUUAUGACAUCAAUGUUAUAUAACCACAAAUAGUAUUACAAAACCAUUUUCUCUCUCUCUUGAUAUAUAUAUAUAUAUAUAUAUAUAUAUAUAUAUAUAUAUAUAUAUCGUCAUUCUUUGAAUAGAAUGUACCAGCCGACGAAACGCAAUGAGAUACUGGCAUUAUUACCUAUCAUAUAUUCACACAAUUUGGAAAAACAGCUAACGCUAUAGGAGUGGUAAUUUUUUUUUUGAAUAAAUUCUUAGGCGAACUACAUUCUUAAGAGGCAUGAACGGAUUUGCGACUAGCAAUAAAGAUGAGUCGAUUUAGAUAUUUUAAUAACGUAGUUCUUUCAGAGAUGCUGGUUAACAUCUGCCAGAUACUAGACUGUAAGGAAACAACAAUACAGAAUACUCAGCUAUGUUGAACAUGUCAUGCAGGCUAUGCGUCACUAUGACGAACAAAUGUUAGCAGAUUUUUCUAUGCUUUCAAUGUAAAUUCUUUGCGAUUGGCCGGUGCGAAUGGGGCACGAAAUAUGUAGAGACAACAGUUUGAAUUCAAAAGAAGAAGAACAUAGGUAUGUGCGUAAGUGAAGAGCAUCGAAGGUGCGCACUUUACAUUUCACACAAGAUUAUUUAUUUGUAAGGUAUAGUGAAUAAAGCAAUCCCGCAGUUAUUAGCGCUAAAUAAACAAAACUUGAAAAUGUACCUGGGGUAUUAGUUGGUAUUGGUAUUUUGCUCCGGUGUAUAGGCAUAGCAUAGAAAAGUAGUUGCAAAUGAGAAUAGUUAUUCUCGGUAUUUGUAAAACGUAUGAGAGAAAAUUUUGUACAACAGGUAUUUUGUGCUAUAUUAUGUCGAACAUUGGUUGAAUCAGAUAUAAAGACGCAAAAUGAUAAAUGUUCUUUUUUGCCGCAGAUUUGCGUAUUGAUGAAACAGCUAGCACUAUCGAAUAACUUGAUCCUAAGCCGAAUCAAUAUUUCAGUCAGCAAAUAAGAUGUAUGGCAAAUUCUUUUGGCUGAAAUAAUUUUGCGCCUAAUAGUAUUAUACAAUAGGAAUUUGAGCACUCAUGGAUUGUAAAGAACAGCCGCAUUUGUUUAAUUUUUCUGUCACUUCCAAGUUUUCUCUUAAGUACGUAGUUUUGUCGAACGAACCUGUCUCAUUUAAACUAUAUGACAUGGUAAAAUAGUCGAGAAAGACCCGUUGGUUAUCUUAACACGUUUAUUUGAUCAUUGAAGUAUAAUGUAUCCGAAAUAUAACCAAGCUUGAAAGGUAUGUUAAUAUAUGGUAUAAAACUUUUCUCAGUAUGCACAUAUGUUCAUUUGGUUGUAUCUUUGAAUUUUGUUUUAUUAGUUUCUUCAAUCCUUGAGUAACUUUCUUGCUAGGAAACUUGCCGAUUUGCAGUACUGUGUCAGCGUUACAUGCAUACACUUCUAGAAAGAAGUUCCAACACCUGCACGACUAUUCAUUUGGUAACACACGAAAUUGUGGCUAUCAGGCCAUCUCGCUAUAUACAUGUUUCAUAGACAAAAAUAUCUCGAGUUUUCCGAUGCCGCCGUUAAGCAUUCCAUCAGCCGACGUUUCAUAGAUCGCUUGAUUGACCAAGCACUCAGUUGCCCUCUAUCUUUUCUACAAUAUGACGAUAAUAAAUGAACAGCUUUUCCCACUAGCAGUUGUUAUUAAGUGAAUUCAAAUAGAAACUAACAUCAACACCCAACACAGAUUCCAACAAAAUCAGGAUACCAAUAAAACCUAUAUCAUCCGUUAGUCUAUAAUAUUGUGAUUUAG
This 2956-nucleotide long non-coding RNA is filed under the name Varroa destructor (honeybee mite). RNAcentral's name for it is "uncharacterized LOC111248421". Lineage: Eukaryota; Metazoa; Arthropoda; Arachnida; Mesostigmata; Varroidae. The record is from RNAcentral.